RNAcentral lists this ribosomal RNA (486 nucleotides) under uncultured bacterium. RNAcentral describes it as "partial 16S ribosomal RNA". It matches the Rfam family "Bacterial small subunit ribosomal RNA", at positions 30 to 507 of the family's 1533-position model. The record is from RNAcentral.
AUUGAACGCUGGCGGCAUGCCUUACACAUGCAAGUCGAACGGCAGCACGGGUGCUUGCACCUGGUGGCGAGUGGCGAACGGGUGAGUAAUACAUCGGAACAUGUCCUGUAGUGGGGGAUAGCCCGGCGAAAGCCGGAUUAAUACCGCAUACGAUCUACGGAUGAAAGCGGGGGACCUUCGGGCCUCGCGCUAUAGGGUUGGCCGAUGGCUGAUUAGCUAGUUGGUGGGGUAAAGGCCUACCAAGGCGACGAUCAGUAGCUGGUCUGAGAGGACGACCAGCCACACUGGGACUGAGACACGGCCCAGACUCCUACGGGAGGCAGCAGUGGGGAAUUUUGGACAAUGGGCGAAAGCCUGAUCCAGCAAUGCCGCGUGUGUGAAGAAGGCCUUCGGAUUGUAAAGCACUUUUGUCCGGAAAGAAAUCCUUGGCCCUAAUACGGUCGGGGGAUGACGGUACCGGAAGAAUAAGCACCGGCUAACUACGUG